This 107-nucleotide ribosomal RNA is filed under the name Candidatus Magasanikiibacteriota bacterium. Lineage: Bacteria; Candidatus Magasanikiibacteriota. The record is from RNAcentral.
CUUGGUGACAUGAGCGAUUGGGUCACACCCGUUCCCAUCCCGAACACGGAAGUUAAGCCAAUCAGCGCCGAUGAUAGCAGCAAUGCAAAAGUAGGCCGUCGCCAGGA